GGUUGGGAGUGUAGCUUGGUGGUAGAGUGUUGGCCUAGUGUGCCCGGGGUCCUGUGUUCAAUCCCCAGACCCAACCA
This 77-nucleotide transfer RNA is filed under the name Marmota monax (woodchuck). RNAcentral's name for it is "tRNA.Thr". Lineage: Eukaryota; Metazoa; Chordata; Mammalia; Rodentia; Sciuridae. The record is from RNAcentral.